Acanthosepion pharaonis is the source of this 107-nucleotide non-coding RNA. NCBI's taxonomy places the organism in Eukaryota, Metazoa, Mollusca, Cephalopoda, Sepiida, Sepiidae. The record is from the annotation of a GenBank genome assembly.
GUGGUCAUAUCAUGUUGAAACACUGGUUACUGCACACUGAAGUUAAGCAAUGUUGAGCCUGGUCUGUACCUAGAUGGGGGACCACUUGAAAAUACCAGGUGCUGUAA